RNAcentral lists this ribosomal RNA (468 nucleotides) under uncultured bacterium. Its description in RNAcentral is "partial 16S ribosomal RNA". It matches the Rfam family "Bacterial small subunit ribosomal RNA", at positions 28 to 507 of the family's 1533-position model. The record is from RNAcentral.
GACGAACGCUGGCGGCGUGCUUAACACAUGCAAGUCGAACGGAAAGGCCCUGCUUUUGUGGGGUGCUCGAGUGGCGAACGGGUGAGUAACACGUGAGUAACCUGCCCUUGACUUUAGGAUAACUUCAGGAAACUGGGGCUAAUACCGGAUAGGAGCUCCUGCUGCAUGGUGGGGGUCGGAAAGUUUCGGCGGUUGGGGAUGGACUCGCGGCUUAUCAGCUUGUUGGUGGGGUAGUGGCUUACCAAGGCUUUGACGGGUAGCCGGCCUGAGAGGGUGACCGGCCACAUUGGGACUGAGAUACGGCCCAGACUCCUACGGGAGGCAGCAGUGGGGAAUAUUGCACAAUGGGCGGAAGCCUGAUGCAGCAACGCCGCGUGCGGGAUGACGGCCUUCAGGUUGUAAACCGCUUUCGCCUGUGACGAAGCGUGAGUGACGGUAAUGGGUAAAGAAGCACCGGCUAACUACGUG